This 501-nucleotide ribosomal RNA is filed under the name uncultured bacterium. RNAcentral describes it as "bacterial SSU rRNA". It matches the Rfam family "Bacterial small subunit ribosomal RNA", at positions 28 to 526 of the family's 1533-position model. The record is from RNAcentral.
GAUGAACGCUGGCGGCGUGCCUAACACAUGCAAGUCGAGCGAGAAACUAUGAACUGACACUUCGGUUGAUUUUUAUAGCGGAAAGCGGCGGACGGGUGAGUAACGCGUAGGCAACCUGCCCUUCACAGAGGGAUAGCCUCGGGAAACCGGGAUUAAAACCUCAUGAAAUCGUAGUAUCUCAUGAUACCACGGUCAAAGAUUUAUCGGUGAGGGAUGGGCCUGCGUCUGAUUAGUUAGUUGGUGAGGUAACGGCUCACCAAGGCAGUGAUCAGUAACCGACCUGAGAGGGUAAUCGGUCACAUUGGAACUGAGACACGGUCCAAACUCCUACGGGAGGCAGCAGUGGGGAAUAUUGCACAAUGGAGGAAACUCUGAUGCAGCAACGCCGCGUGAACGAUGAAGGUUCUAUGAAUCGUAAAGUUCUGUUCUGAGGGAAGAAACAAAUGACGGUACCUCAGGAGCAAGCCCCGGCUAACUACGUGCCAGCCGCCGCAGUAACAC